Molecule: unclassified non-coding RNA, 210 nt
Filed under: Hevea brasiliensis (rubber tree)
Lineage: Eukaryota; Viridiplantae; Streptophyta; Magnoliopsida; Malpighiales; Euphorbiaceae
Source: RNAcentral
GUAAUUUUUUCCACCAGAAAUGCAUUUUGAUAUUAUGUUUGAUUAGCUUCGCAGGUACUAAAUGAGAUCGUUUUCUAACGACCUAAUUAUCCCCUAACGAUCCGAUUGUUAGGGAUUUGCUUGACGUUUGAGUUACGACAAAACAAAUACUCUCCGAAAGGUCCCAGGCUUGCUUUUGAGGAUUUUUGUGCAAGAAAUUACAUAAAUUUA